This is a long non-coding RNA of Herpailurus yagouaroundi (jaguarundi), 411 nucleotides long. RefSeq lists it as uncharacterized. The record is from RefSeq and is a predicted model, not a curated record. The transcript is spliced from 3 exons. NCBI's taxonomy places the organism in Eukaryota, Metazoa, Chordata, Mammalia, Carnivora, Felidae.
UACUCAGCCUUUCUGUGCCUCAGGUCCCUCGUUUGUAAAAUGAGGGUAUAACAACAGUCCCUACCUCACCGGGUAUUUUGGAGGAUUAAAUGUGUAAAUGAAAACAUGCAGAGAACAUAGAACGCACCCAGCCAAUAGUAAGUGGUUGUGUUUGUUAUUUCAGGUUCCUUGGGCCCUUGCUCUGGACCUCGUGCUCUUUGGACCCUGCAUUCUCUGCUGUCUUGGAACUUGGAUACACCAAUUCUUGCCAAGACUAUGAGCUGUGGGAAGCUGGGACCAGUUGAUUGAGCAGCUAGCACAAACCAAAAGGACAUUGCUAUAACUCAAUUUAGAUGGCAGCAUUAUAUUGGGACGAAGCGUCCAAGAAGUUCCAGUCUUGCAAGGGCAAGAUUCCAUAAGAAAAAGAUAAGA